Molecule: ribosomal RNA, 422 nt
Filed under: uncultured bacterium
Lineage: Bacteria
Description: bacterial SSU rRNA
Rfam family: Bacterial small subunit ribosomal RNA
Source: RNAcentral
UAAGGAAUAUUGGACAAUGGAGGCAACUCUGAUCCAGCCAUGCCGCGUGAAGGAAUAAGGCCCUAUGGGUUGUAAACUUCUUUUAGACGGGACAAAACCCCUUUACGUGUAAAGGGUUGAUGGUACUGUCAGAAUAAGCAUCGGCUAACUUCGUGCCAGCAGCCGCGGUAAUACGAAGGAUGCAAGCGUUAUCCGGAAUUAUUGGGUUUAAAGGGUGCGUAGGCGGACUAAUAAGUCAGUGGUGAAAGCCUGCAGCUUAACUGCAGAAUUGCCAUUGAUUCUGUUAGUCUUGAGUACAGUUGAGGUAGGCGGAAUGUGUCAUGUAGCGGUGGAAUGCUUAGAUAGAACACUGAACACCGAUUGCGAAGGCAGCUUGCUAAGCUGUAACUGACGCUGAGGCACGAAAGCGUGGGGAGCAAACA